UACGGAAGGCAGCAGUGGGGAAUAUUGCACAAUGGGCGCAAGCCUGAUGCAGCCAUGCCGCGUGUAUGAAGAAGGCCUUCGGGUUGUAAAGUACUUUCAGUCGUGAGGAAGGUGUUAAGGUUAAUAACUUUAGCAAUUGACGUUAGCGACAGAAGAAGCACCGGCUAACUCCGUGCCAGCAGCCGCGGUAAUACGGAGGGUGCGAGCGUUAAUCGGAAUUACUGGGCGUAAAGGGCACGCAGGCGGUUAAUUAAGUUGGAUGUGAAAUCCCCGGGCUUAACCUGGGAAUGGCAUUCAAGACUGGUUAGCUAGAGUCUUGUAGAGGGGGUAGAAUUCCAUGUGUAGCGGUGAAAUGCGUAGAGAUGUGGAGGAAUACCGGUGGCGAAGGCGGCCCCUGGGACAAAGGCUGACGCUCAUGUGCGAAAGCGUGGGGAGCAAACAGGGAUUUAGAUACC
This 455-nucleotide ribosomal RNA is filed under the name uncultured bacterium. RNAcentral describes it as "bacterial SSU rRNA". It matches the Rfam family "Bacterial small subunit ribosomal RNA", at positions 340 to 786 of the family's 1533-position model. The record is from RNAcentral.